GAUGAACGCUGGCGGCGUGCCUAAUACAUGCAAGUCGAGCGAACAGACGAGGAGCUUGCUCCUCUGACGUUAGCGGCGGACGGGUGAGUAACACGUGGAUAACCUACCUAUAAGACUGGGAUAACUUCGGGAAACCGGAGCUAAUACCGGAUAAUAUAUUGAACCGCAUGGUUCAAUAGUGAAAGACGGUUUUGCUGUCACUUAUAGCUGGAUCCGCGCCGCAUUAGCUAGUUGGUAAGGUAACGGCUUACCAAGGCAACGAUGCGUAGCCGACCUGAGAGGUGGAUCGGCCACACUGGAACUGAGGCACGGUCCAGACUCCUACGGGAGGCAGCAGUAGGGAAUCUUCCGCAAUGGGCGAAAGCCUGACGGAGCAACGCCGCGUGAGUGAUGAAGGUCUUCGGAUCGUAAAACUCUGUUAUUAGGGAAGAACAAAUGUGUAAGUAACUAUGCACGUCUUGACGGUACCUAAUCAGAAAGCCACGGCUAACUACGUG
RNAcentral lists this ribosomal RNA (497 nucleotides) under uncultured bacterium. RNAcentral's name for it is "partial 16S ribosomal RNA". It matches the Rfam family "Bacterial small subunit ribosomal RNA", at positions 28 to 507 of the family's 1533-position model. The record is from RNAcentral.